RNAcentral lists this ribosomal RNA (319 nucleotides) under Micrococcus sp. RNAcentral's name for it is "bacterial SSU rRNA". It matches the Rfam family "Bacterial small subunit ribosomal RNA", at positions 461 to 779 of the family's 1533-position model. The record is from RNAcentral. Lineage: Bacteria; Bacillati; Actinomycetota; Actinomycetes; Micrococcales; Micrococcaceae.
AAGCGAAAGUGACGGUACCUGCAGAAGAAGCACCGGCUAACUACGUGCCAGCAGCCGCGGUAAUACGUAGGGUGCGAGCGUUAUCCGGAAUUAUUGGGCGUAAAGAGCUCGUAGGCGGUUUGUCGCGUCUGUCGUGAAAGUCCGGGGCUUAACCCCGGAUCUGCGGUGGGUACGGGCAGACUAGAGUGCAGUAGGGGAGACUGGAAUUCCUGGUGUAGCGGUGGAAUGCGCAGAUAUCAGGAGGAACACCGAUGGCGAAGGCAGGUCUCUGGGCUGUAACUGACGCUGAGGAGCGAAAGCAUGGGGAGCGAACAGGAUU